GUGGGGAAUCUUGCGCAAUGGGCGAAAGCCUGACGCAGCCAUGCCGCGUGAAUGAUGAAGGUCUUAGGAUUGUAAAAUUCUUUCACCGGGGACGAUAAUGACGGUACCCGGAGAAGAAGCUCCGGCUAACUUCGUGCCAGCAGCCGCGGUAAUACGAAGGGGGCUAGCGUUGCUCGGAAUUACUGGGCGUAAAGGGCGCGUAGGCGGACAGCUUAGUCAGAGGUGAAAGCCCAGGGCUCAACCUUGGAAUUGCCUUUGAUACUGGCUGUCUUGAGUUUGGGAGAGGUGAGUGGAACUCCGAGUGUAGAGGGGAAAUUCGUAGAUAUUCGGAAGAACACCAGUGGCGAAGGCGACUCACUGGCCCAAUACUGACGCUGAGGCGCGAAAGCGUGGGGAGCAAACAGGAUUAGAAACCCCUGUAGUCC
RNAcentral lists this ribosomal RNA (425 nucleotides) under uncultured bacterium. RNAcentral's name for it is "partial 16S ribosomal RNA". It matches the Rfam family "Bacterial small subunit ribosomal RNA", at positions 354 to 796 of the family's 1533-position model. The record is from RNAcentral.